CUUGAAUGUUCUUUUUUUUUAUUUUACAGUGAAAUUACAAUAUUAUUAUUUUUAUUUAGUAGUUAGUCAUUUUUGUUGUUGUUGUUAUUCUUUUAUAAUCAUAUGGAUAUAUAAUCACAAAAUCUUUGUCCAAAUUGUGCAUCCCUACAGACUAGCACAGCAAACCUCAAAAAAAUAAAAAUAAAUAAUUUAAUCAAAAUUUUAAUUUAAUUUUUUUUUCCGUAUUUUCAGCCCCAAAUCACGUGGCUCUAGCAUCAUGUCUGUUUUGUUUGAUACUGCACCAUUGAACCGUGCUUUGUUUCAGUCUUUUGUAGUACUUCCUCCUGUUCUUUCAGAAGCAGCUGUUGCUGACAGACGCUGAGCAUGAUUGUGAUAGAUAAUGUUGGUUCAUCUAAAGCAGAACCUCCUCGCAGAAGACGCUGGGUUUGUCUCCUUCUUCUUCAUCUAUUGUUUCAUCUCAGGAUUGGCCGCCGUUUACACCGAACGGAUGCUGAAAACCCAGCGGGCAGCAGUGGUUUCUCCACUCUCGUUUGGCUCAUUACUGUGGGACAGGCUGCUAACGGGCUCCUCGUGUCCGUCGUCAUGAAUCACGUGGCUGUUUGUCAGCUCCUCUGUGCAGGUGAAUGACGUGUUGUCAUGGAUGAUUCUGGGGAUACAGCUUACUUCCUGUUUCCCGUGCUGCUGAUUGGAUGGGCCUGUAUUACAGAAGUGCAUCUUACUGUGAAUGAACACCAUCUCAUCAAGACUGAAUCUCUGUUCAUGUGUUGGUUUUAUUCAUGUGCCGUAUUUUAUUUUUAAAAUAAUGUUGAAAUGAAUGGUACAGCACUCAUAUUUAAGGCAAAUUUAUGCAAAGUGUAAAGGAGAACUAGUUCUCAACUGACUUACCUGCUUAAAUAAAGGUUAACAAAUAAAUAUAAUGGAGCAAUCA
Long non-coding RNA from Cyprinus carpio (common carp), 928 nucleotides. RefSeq lists it as uncharacterized. The transcript is spliced from 2 exons. The record is from RefSeq and is a predicted model, not a curated record. Lineage: Eukaryota; Metazoa; Chordata; Actinopteri; Cypriniformes; Cyprinidae.